GCGCAUUCCGAGGCGGCUGUUCGCAGGCCCUGAGACCCGACUCGGGGCAGCACGGGUGCUGCGGGGCCGCGCGAUAAACCACAGGCUAACGUGUCUGCUUGCCACAAUUUCAUGGAUGCUGACAGAACAGAAGACUGCUGGAUCAGAGAUGAAAGACUUGAAGCAAAAGCAGUAGCCUGCCUGUCAACAUGUUUGUGUGACAAAGUCUGGAGGUGAGCCAUCUGAUAAAGCAGCUGAUGGGGCAGCUUCGGGAGCAUCAACAUCCCAGACUCCUUCUAUCUUGUUGCUUCACCAUGCUCAACAUGUGGCUUCCAACUCAUGGUCAAAGUUGCCAGCUCAGACUCCAGCCAGCUGCAUG
Molecule: long non-coding RNA, 358 nt
Organism: Artibeus jamaicensis (Jamaican fruit-eating bat)
Lineage: Eukaryota; Metazoa; Chordata; Mammalia; Chiroptera; Phyllostomidae
Exons: 3
Source: RefSeq, a predicted model, not a curated record